Molecule: ribosomal RNA, 409 nt
Filed under: Peribacillus simplex
Lineage: Bacteria; Bacillati; Bacillota; Bacilli; Caryophanales; Bacillaceae
Description: bacterial SSU rRNA
Rfam family: Bacterial small subunit ribosomal RNA
Source: RNAcentral
UUAACGCGAAGAACCUUACCAGGUCUUGACAUCCUCUGACAACCCUAGAGAUAGGGCUUUCCCCUUCGGGGGACAGAGUGACAGGUGGUGCAUGGUUGUCGUCAGCUCGUGUCGUGAGAUGUUGGGUUAAGUCCCGCAACGAGCGCAACCCUUGAUCUUAGUUGCCAGCAUUCAGUUGGGCACUCUAAGGUGACUGCCGGUGACAAACCGGAGGAAGGUGGGGAUGACGUCAAAUCAUCAUGCCCCUUAUGACCUGGGCUACACACGUGCUACAAUGGAUGGUACAAAGGGCUGCAAACCUGCGAAGGUAAGCGAAUCCCAUAAAGCCAUUCUCAGUUCGGAUUGCAGGCUGCAACUCGCCUGCAUGAAGCCGGAAUCGCUAGUAAUCGCGGAUCAGCAUGCCGCGGAA